UAACUGGGCGUAAAGGGCACGCAGGCGGUGACUUAAGUGAGGUGUGAAAGCCCCGGGCUUAACCUGGGAAUUGCAUUUCAUACUGGGUCGCUAGAGUACUUUAGGGAGGGGUAGAAUUCCACGUGUAGCGGUGAAAUGCGUAGAGAUGUGGAGGAAUACCGAAGGCGAAGGCAGCCCCUUGGGAAUGUACUGACGCUCAUGUGCGAAAGCGUGGGGAGCAAACAGGAUUAGAUACCCUGGUAGUCCACGCUGUAAACGAUGUCGAUUUGGGGGUUGGGCUUUAAGCUUGGCGCCCGUAGCUAACGUGAUAAAUCGACCGCCUGGGGAGUACGGCCGCAAGGUCAAAACUCAAAUGAAUUGACGGGGGCCCGCACAAGCGGUGGAGCAUGUAGUUUAAUUCGAUGCAACGCGAAGAACCUUACCUACUCUUGACAUCCAGAGAACUUUCCAGAGAUGGAUUGGUGCCUUCGGGAACUCUGAGACAGGUGCUGCAUGGCUGUCGUCAGCUCGUGUCGUGAG
Molecule: ribosomal RNA, 519 nt
Filed under: uncultured bacterium
Lineage: Bacteria
Description: bacterial SSU rRNA
Rfam family: Bacterial small subunit ribosomal RNA
Source: RNAcentral